Molecule: ribosomal RNA, 778 nt
Filed under: Bacillus sp. PB07
Lineage: Bacteria; Bacillati; Bacillota; Bacilli; Caryophanales; Bacillaceae
Description: bacterial SSU rRNA
Rfam family: Bacterial small subunit ribosomal RNA
Source: RNAcentral
CGUAAGACGGGGAUAACUCCGGGAAACCGGGGCUAAUACCGGAUGAAACUUAAGACUACCUAGUCUAAAGUUGAAAGAUGGCUUAUGGCUAUCGCUUACAGAUGGGCCCGCGGCGCAUUAGCUAGUUGGUGAGGUAACGGCUCACCAAGGCGACGAUGCGUAGCCGACCUGAGAGGGUGAUCGGCCACACUGGGACUGAGACACGGCCCAGACUCCUACGGGAGGCAGCAGUAGGGAAUCUUCCGCAAUGGACGAAAGUCUGACGGAGCAACGCCGCGUGAGUGAAGAAGGUUUUCGGAUCGUAAAGCUCUGUUGUUAGGGAAGAACAAGUACCGUUCGAAUAGGGCGGUACCUUGACGGUACCUAACCAGAAAGCCACGGCUAACUACGUGCCAGCAGCCGCGGUAAUACGUAGGUGGCAAGCGUUGUCCGGAAUUAUUGGGCGUAAAGCGCGCGCAGGCGGUUCUUUAAGUCUGAUGUGAAAUCUUGCGGCUCAACCGCAAGCGGUCAUUGGAAACUGGGGAACUUGAGUGCAGAAGAGGAGAGUGGAAUUCCACGUGUAGCGGUGAAAUGCGUAGAGAUGUGGAGGAACACCAGUGGCGAACGCGACUCUCUGGUCUGUAACUGACGCUGACGCGCGAAAGCGUGGGGAGCGACAGGAUUAGAUACCCUGGUAGUCCACGCCGUAAACGAUGAGUGCUAAGUGUUAGAGGGUUUCCGUCCUUUAGUGCUGCAGCAAACGCAUUAAGCACUCGGCCUUGGGGAGUACGGUCGCAAG